RNAcentral lists this ribosomal RNA (490 nucleotides) under uncultured bacterium. Its description in RNAcentral is "bacterial SSU rRNA". It matches the Rfam family "Bacterial small subunit ribosomal RNA", at positions 1 to 507 of the family's 1533-position model. The record is from RNAcentral.
AGUAGUUUGACUCCGUGGCUCGAGGACGAACGCUGGCGGCGUGCCUAACACAUGCAAGUCGAACGAGGUCCAAGGAAGCUUGCUUCCUGAAGACCUAGUGGCGAACGGGUGAGUAACACGUGAGAAACCUGCCUCGGAGUGGGGAAUAACUCGGGGAAACUCGAGCUAAUACCGCAUACCUCCACAUGAUCGCAUGGUCGAGUGAAGAAAGAAUUUCGCUCUGAGAGGGUCUCGCGGCCUAUCAGCUUGUUGGUGGGUAACGGCCUACCAAGGCAACGACGGGUAGCUGGUUUGAGAGAACGAUCAGCCACACUGGGACUGAGACACGGCCCAGACUCCUACGGGAGGCAGCAGUGGGGAAUCUUGCGCAAUGGGCGAAAGCCUGACGCAGCAACGCCGCGUGCGGGAUGACGGCCUUCGUGGUUGUAAACCGCUUUCAGCAGGGACGAAAAUGACGGUACCUGCAGAAGAAGCCCCGGCUAACUACGUG